This 89-nucleotide unclassified non-coding RNA is filed under the name Pseudomonas brassicacearum. Lineage: Bacteria; Pseudomonadati; Pseudomonadota; Gammaproteobacteria; Pseudomonadales; Pseudomonadaceae. The record is from RNAcentral.
UGUGGGAGCGAGCUUGCUCGCGAUGGCGUCGGGUCAGUUGGUGCGGUGUUGACUGAUACGCCGCCAUCGCGAGCAAGCUCGCUCCCACA